CUGCAUCCACUGAAGCCCAGACCUGCUGCCUGCAGGACCUCACCCAGGCACCAGGUCGUGCCUGGCGCCUCCUUGAUGCCAGGCCCUGGGGAGACCUGUGGCCACAGAACCCAUGUUCUCCCUGGAGAUGGACAGGAGGCCCCUCUCCUACGCAGAAGCUGUCGUUUUUUCUUCUUAAACACCGUUUGCCCCUCCCUCCACCCACCGAGCCAUCUCUGCCCCUCUCUACAGCAAAGCUUCCGCCAAGCCGGCCCUGCUCCCUGUCUACCUCUCCUGCCACCACCCACUCACACGUUUUAAAUACAAGCCGUCGGUUCUCA
Molecule: long non-coding RNA, 320 nt
Filed under: Homo sapiens (human)
Lineage: Eukaryota; Metazoa; Chordata; Mammalia; Primates; Hominidae
Description: non-protein coding lnc-CFAP74-2:7
Source: RNAcentral